This 351-nucleotide ribosomal RNA is filed under the name uncultured bacterium. RNAcentral describes it as "partial 16S ribosomal RNA". It matches the Rfam family "Bacterial small subunit ribosomal RNA", at positions 338 to 686 of the family's 1533-position model. The record is from RNAcentral.
CCUACGGGGGGCAGCAGUGAGGAAUAUUGGUCAAUGGACGAGAGCCUGAAUCAGCCAAGUAGCGUGAAGGAUGACUGCCCUAUGGGUUGUAAACUUCUUUUAUAUGGGAAUAAAGUGUUCCACGUGUGGGUUUUUGUAUGUACCAUAUGAAUAAGGAUCGGCUAACUCCGUGCCAGCAGCCGAGUUAAUACGGAGGAUCCGAGCGUUAUCCGGAUUUAUUGGGUUUAAAGGGAGCGUAGGUGGUUUGUUAAGUAAGUUGUGAAAUUUUGGGGCUCAACCGUAAAAUUGCAGUGAUACCUGGCAGUCUGAGGUACAGUGGGGGUGGGGGAAAUUCGUGGUGUGGCGUGGAAA